RNAcentral lists this ribosomal RNA (1365 nucleotides) under uncultured bacterium. Its description in RNAcentral is "bacterial SSU rRNA". It matches the Rfam family "Bacterial small subunit ribosomal RNA", at positions 28 to 1393 of the family's 1533-position model. The record is from RNAcentral.
AAUGAACGUUGGCGGCGUGGAUUAGGCAUGCAAGUCGGACGUCUCGCAAGAGACGUGGCGGAAGGGUGAGUAAGGCGACGGCAACCUACCCUGGGGAUGGCCAUAACCGCGGGAAACCGCGGCUAAUAGCCAGCGACGCCGGAGCGGGGCCUCCCGCUCGGGCCAAAGGGUGUGAUUCCGCCCUGGGACGGGCCGUCGUGGUAUCAGCUAGUUGGUGGGGUCGUGGCCCACCAAGGCAUUGACGCCUACCGGGCGUGCGAGUGUGGCCCGGCACACUGGGACUGAGACACUGCCCAGACACCUACGGGUGGCUGCAGUCGAGAAUCUUCGGCAAUGGGCGCAAGCCUGACCGAGCGACGCCGCGUGGAGGACGAAGGCCCUCGGGUUGUAAACUCCUGUCGAGGGGGAACAAGGGCCCGUGCAGAGCGGGCCGUGAGUGAUCCCUGGAGGAAGCACGGGCUAAGUUCGUGCCAGCAGCCGCGGUAAGACGAACCGUGCGAACGUUAUUCGGAAUUACUGGGCUUAAAGCGCGCGUAGGCGGAUCGUCGCGUCGGAUGCUGAAAGCCCCCGGCUCAACCGGGGAAGGGGCACCGAAACGGGCGGUCUGGAGUGGAGGAGGGGGACCCGGGAACUCCCGGUGGAGCGGUGAAAUGCGUUGAGAUCGGGAGGAACGCCGACGGCGAAAGCAGGGUCCUGGACUUCGACUGACGCUGAGGCGCGAAAGCCAGGGGAGCGAACGGGAUUAGAUACCCCGGUAGUCCUGGCCGUAAACCAUGGGCACUGGAUCGUGUGCUCGCCGAUGGGCGCGCGAUCGCAGCGAAAGCGUCAAGUGCCCCGCCUGGGGAGUAUGGUCGCAAGGCUGAAACUCAAAGGAAUUGACGGGGGCUCACACAAGCGGUGGAGCAUGUGGCUUAAUUCGAGGCUACGCGAAGAACCUUAUCCCGGGCUUGACAUGCACGGAUUAGCCGGCGGAAACGUCGGGGACGCCUUCGGGUGGAACGUGCGCAGGUGCUGCAUGGCUGUCGUCAGCUCGUGCCGCGAGGUGUUGGGUUAAGUCCCGUAACGAGCGAAACCCUUGCCCCUAGUUGCCAGCGCGUCAUGGCGGGCACUCUAGGGGGACCGCCGGCGUCAAGCCGGAGGAAGGCGGGGACGACGUCAAGUCAUCAUGGCCCUUAUGCCCGGGGCUGCACACGUGCUACAAUGGGCCGGACAGAGCGUUGCAAGACCGCAAGGUGGAGCCAAUCGCAAAAACCGGCCCCCAGUUCGGAUCGCGGGCUGCAACCCGCCCGCGUGAAGUUGGAAUCGCUAGUAAUCGCGGAUCAGCACUGCCGCGGUGAAUGGGUACCUGAGCCUUGUACACACCGC